Molecule: ribosomal RNA, 231 nt
Filed under: uncultured bacterium
Lineage: Bacteria
Description: partial 16S ribosomal RNA
Rfam family: Bacterial small subunit ribosomal RNA
Source: RNAcentral
GAUCCUGGCUCAGAUUGAACGCUGGCGGCAUGCUUUACACGUGCAAGUCGAACGGCAGCACGGAGAGCUUGCUCUCUGGUGGCGAGUGGCGCACGGGUGAGUAAUACAUCGGAACGUGUCCUGUUGUGGGGGACAACCGGUCGAAAGACCGGCUAAUACCGCAUAAGACCUGAGGGUGAAAGCGGGGGAUCGCAAGACCUCGCGCAAUUGGAGCGGCCGAUGCCCGAUUAG